AUGACAUUCACUCUGUGUUGGUUUUUCUUAUGCAGCUACUGCAGGUUAGUUUUUGCUAAGCUGGGAUUCGGUUACAGUAAUUGCAGUUUUGUUUCUUUUUGUUGGAAUCUGUUGUUUUCAAGGAAGGAGAGAGGGAGUUAUCACGAUUGGUUUUGCAGGUUGUGGAAGCAUAGUGCCAUGGCCUUGAUGAAAGAAAACGGAAGCGAUGAGAGGGAAACUUGA
Non-coding RNA from Vicia faba (fava bean), 222 nucleotides. NCBI's taxonomy places the organism in Eukaryota, Viridiplantae, Streptophyta, Magnoliopsida, Fabales, Fabaceae. The record is from the annotation of a GenBank genome assembly.